CCUACGGGUGGCUGCAGUGGGGAAUAUUGGGCAAUGGGCGCAAGCCUGACCCAGCAACGCCGCGUGAAGGAAGAAGGCUUUCGGGUUGUAAACCUCUUUUGUUAGGGACGAAGCAAGUGACGGUACCUGACGAAUAAGCCUCGGCUAUCUAUGUGCCAGCAGCCGCGGUAAUACGUAGGUGGCAAGCGUUAUCCGGAUUUACUGGGUGUAAAGGGCGUGUAGGCGGGGAAGCAAGUCAGAUGUGAAAGCGAGGGGCUCAACCUGUGGAUUGGAUUUGACACUGUUUUUCUUGAGUGCUGGAGAGGGAAGCGGAAUUUGUGGUGUAGCGGUGAAAUGCAUAGAUAUACGGAGGAACACCGGUGGCGAAGGCGGAUUGCUGGGCAGUAACUGACACUGAGGCACGAAAGCGUGGGGAGCAAACAGGAUUAGAUACCCGGGUAGUC
RNAcentral lists this ribosomal RNA (443 nucleotides) under uncultured bacterium. RNAcentral's name for it is "partial 16S ribosomal RNA". It matches the Rfam family "Bacterial small subunit ribosomal RNA", at positions 338 to 795 of the family's 1533-position model. The record is from RNAcentral.